UACAUGUCAUGUAAAAGACACAAGCUACAGCUUCCACUAGACCAUAAAAAUCAUUUCACGACAUUUCUCAUGUUUCAUUAAUGAAUGCAUAACAAUUACUGUAUUUCACAAGCAUGAAAUUUUUUGAGUAUUUAAUCUGUUGUACUUCUUCUAGCUCAAUCUCCGAAGCCUCAUCAUCGUUGCGGCCUGAUGAUUCCAAGUGUGUCGUCCCUGUUCUGCAGCCAGACAGGCCACGGUACCGCGAUCGCAGAAAGUGUAGCAUUAGUCCUCGGAAAUCUGGUUCCGCUCCUGCAGACUGGAGGCCUUCUCUUAACGCGAUUUCGGAGGAUAACAUUGUAGCUGUGAAGAGACACAACAGCUCCACUUCCGAAACAACUGCCAAACGGAAAGAUUCUCUUAUGCAUAAAUCUAAGGUCCGGACUAGUCGGUCCGAAGACUACAGGAGAGCUCCGAUGCCAGAUAUCAUACCAGCAUUCGCUCCGACACCGUUUCUGUUCUGACGACAUAGUGGAUCCAAUGAGCAUCUUUGUGUGUUAAAAGUCUUGCAGAUAGUAAUCUGUUUGUACAUAUGUAAUGCAUGAUGUCGAGUAUGUUCACAGUUUUGUCCUGCAGAUUUCCAGUUGAAUAAUCGUUUAUUAUUACCAGUUGUAUUUGAUUUCAGAUUGUAAAGAUUGUAGAGUUUUAUUGCGAUUAUCCACUCUUUGAGUCA
Molecule: long non-coding RNA, 709 nt
Organism: Daucus carota subsp. sativus
Lineage: Eukaryota; Viridiplantae; Streptophyta; Magnoliopsida; Apiales; Apiaceae
Exons: 2
Source: RefSeq, a predicted model, not a curated record